GAUGAAGAACGCAGCGAAAUGCGAUAAGUAAUGUGAAUUGCAGAAUCCAGUGAAUCAUCGAAUCUUUGAACGCACAUUGCGCCCGCCAGCAAUCUGGCGGGCAUGCCUGUUCGAGCGUCAUUUCAACCCUCGACCUCCCUUUGGGGAAGUCGGCGUUGGGGACCGGCAGCACACCGCCGGCCCUGAAAUGGAGUGGCGGCCCGUCCGCGGCGACCUCUGCGUAGUAAACCAACUCGCACCGGAACCCCGACGUGGCCACGCCGUAAAACACCCAACUUCUGAACGUUGACCUCGAAUCAGGUAGGACUACCCGCUGAACUUAAGCAUAUCAAUAAGCGGAGGA
This 343-nucleotide unclassified non-coding RNA is filed under the name soil metagenome. Its description in RNAcentral is "partial contains 5.8S ribosomal RNA, internal transcribed spacer 2, and large subunit ribosomal RNA". The stretch from base 1 to 120 matches the Rfam family "5.8S ribosomal RNA", at positions 35 to 154 of the family's 154-position model. The record is from RNAcentral.